CAUAAAUGUAAGGAUUUAUUUUUGUCCAUUAUAUUCUAUUCUGUUGAUCAAUAUGUAAAUCCUUAUACAAGUACCAUAAAUCUUGAUUUGUAUUCUUUUGUAUUAACAGUAAGUUUUUCUUUUUUUUUCUUUUUUUCAGGACAGAGUCUUGCUGUGUCUCCCAGGCUGGAAUGCAGUGGUGCAGUCUUGGCUCACUGCAACCUCCACCUCCUGUGUUCAAGCAAUUCUUGCGCAAGCAAUUCUCGUGCCUCAGCCUCCCGAGUAGCUGGAAUUACAGGCAUGCGCCACCAUGCCCAAUUUUUGGAUUUUUAGUAGAGAUGGGGUUUCAUCAUGUUGGCCAGGCUGGUCUCAAACUCCUGACCUCAAGUGCUCUGCCCACCUCAGCCUCCAAAAGUGCUGGGAUUACAGGCAUUGAGCCACUGUGCCGGACUGUAUUAAUAGUUAAGUUUUGAAAUCAGGAAGUAGAUGUCUACAAUUCCAACCUUUUGCCUCUUAUUCGAGAUUAUUUAGGCUGCUGUGGGUCUAUUGCAUUGCAUAUGAACUUUAAAAUAACCUUGUUAAUUUAGGGGAAGGAAAUAUCACCUGGGAUUUUGGUAGAUGUUGCAUUCAAUCUAUAGAUCUAUUUGGAAAAUAGUGCCAUCCUAACAGUACUAAUCCUUCUAAGCAAUGAACAUUCAAAUAUUUUCUAUUUAUUUAAUUUUCUUCAAUAUGUUUUCUAGUUUUUGUGUACAUGUCUUACACUUAAUUUGAUAAACAUGCCUAUUUUCGAUGCCAUCUCAAGUGGAAUGGUUUUCUGAGUUUUGUUUUUAGGUUGUUAAUUGCUAGUGUAUAGAAAUUCAAAGGAUUUUAUAUGUUGACCGUAUAUACUGUAAGUUUGUUACUCAUCUUUAAGGUUUAAAUAUAUUUUAUUAGAGUCCUUUGGAUUUUUUUAUACAUAAGAUUAUGUCAUUUGCAAACAAGAGUUUGACUUCCCUUAUCUGCCUUAUUUGCUGCAUGUUUUUUUUUGUUUUUGUUUUUGUUUUUGUUUUUUGAGAAGGAGUCUCGCUCUGUCACCCAGGCUGGAGUGCAGUGACGCAAUCUUGGCUCACUACAAGCUCUGCCUCCCGGGUUCACGCCAUUCUACUGCCUCAGCCUCCCGAGUAGCUGGGACUACAGGUGCCCGCCACCACGCCUGGCUAAUUUUUUUUUGGUACUUUUAGUCGAGACAGAGUUUCACCGUGUUAGCCAGGAUGGUCUCGAUCUCCUGACCUCGUGAUCUGCCUAUCUCGGCCUCCCAAAGUGCUGGGAUUACAGGUGUGAGCCACUGCGCCUGGCCUGCUGCAUGUUUUUAUCAUAGUGAGUUCAGGAAUUCUCAGGUGUUGCUGCAUCUUUUGAGAUGACUAUGUGGUUUUGUUUUUUAUCAUAUUAAUAUAGUGCAUGGCAUUAAUUGUACUUGAAUGUUGAACCAAAUGUUGCUUUCCUGAGGUAAAUACCCUUGACAUAUUUUAUAAUACUUUUUACAUGUUGCUGAUUUGUUUUACUAGGAUUUCCUUGAUGAUUUUUGGCUCUAUAUUCGUAAGGUGUGUUCUUAAUUUUCAUUAUUUGAAAUCUGUUUGUCUAGUUGCGGUAUCAGGGUAAACCAACUCACAGUAUAAAUGAAAUGCGAUGCCUUCUCCACUUUGUUGUUGUUGUUUUUAACAACUUAUUAUAAAUUAAUAUUAAUUGUUAAGUGAUUCCAAUAACUGACUAAUGAAUUAUCUUGACUGGGGCAAGGAAGCAAAUCCUAGGAACAAUCACGUGAGCUUGGAAGGAGACCUUUCCCCAGCUGAGCCUCAGCCUGGGCCAUCACCUGCAUCUGGACUGAAGACCCAAAGAAACUACUCCAUCAGGAAUUGUUUGAGACCAUGCAUUAUGUGGACACUCAUAUCGUGGAAUUAUAUUGCCAAUUGGCAUUCCUAAAGCUUCUACGCUAGCAGGUUUGGAGUAAUUCACCAGUGAAGUCUUCUCAACCUGGGCAAUCAUGUGAGCUUGGAAGAUGAUGCAUCCCCAUCUCAUCUUUCAGGUGAAACCUCAGCCUUGGCCAUCACCUACAUCUGGAUUUCUGACCCAGAGAAACUUUGGUGUACUGUGGUUUCUGUAUUAAGGUCUGGUCUACAGAGAAGAGAGAUCAGGGAGCUCUUCAGUUGUACCCAGCCUCCCCACACAAAUCUACCUAACAAAGUCCUGAUAAACAGUAUGUUUUCUGGAGUCUAUCAAUAUGGGUAAGUUGCAUUUAUUUUUUUAUUUAUUUAGAAACAGAGUCUCACUUUUUUUGCCCAGGCUGGAGUACAGUGGCAUGAUUUCAGCUUACCGCAAACUCUGCCUCCUGGAUUCAAACCAUCCUCCGGCCUCAGCCUCCUGAGUAGCUGGGGCAACAGGUG
Molecule: long non-coding RNA, 2399 nt
Filed under: Homo sapiens (human)
Lineage: Eukaryota; Metazoa; Chordata; Mammalia; Primates; Hominidae
Description: HSALNT0217378
Source: RNAcentral